Long non-coding RNA from Xiphophorus couchianus (Monterrey platyfish), 584 nucleotides. RefSeq lists it as uncharacterized. NCBI's taxonomy places the organism in Eukaryota, Metazoa, Chordata, Actinopteri, Cyprinodontiformes, Poeciliidae. The transcript has 3 exons. The record is from RefSeq and is a predicted model, not a curated record.
CACGAGCGAAGCCGUUAGUCCAGUUAGCUGUAACUCAGGCAACAACAGGAAACGCAUCACAACCUCAUCGCUCCUGAAACAGGAAACGCAUCACAACAUCCCAUCAGAGAUCAAAGAAAUAUGCAAAUGAUUUAUGGAAAUGUAUUCAAAUGUCCACCGGGGGCAGCGCUGCUCACUUCCCGCUUCCCUUCUUCUUUUUCAUGGUUUAAUUGAUGAGCAGCCAUAGAUGUCAUCCAUUAAUAUGAGUCACUCUGCUGUGGUGAAAAUGUGUUCAAGGUCAUCUGUUCUGAAAUUAGUUAAAUUUCACUUUUAGGGUAGGAAACACACACAACAGGAAGUAUUAAAUAAAAUGAAAUUAAGUACACCCUUCACUCUUUGACAGAUGUUUGGAAGAAGGAAAGUCUGGCUGAGGCAGGAAGGAGCUCCAGUAGCAGUCAGUGUUGCAACAAAGCAGAAGACUGUUGCUCUUAGCAUGUUAGCAUGGGUGUACCGAUGCUGCAUGGAUGCAACAUGAUGACAUCAGCUGUUAGCAGCUCUGCUAAUCCGCCUCCUUUACUUUUGCUGCUGGAGCCUCAGAUCUGAUC